Molecule: ribosomal RNA, 301 nt
Filed under: uncultured bacterium
Lineage: Bacteria
Description: partial 16S ribosomal RNA
Rfam family: Bacterial small subunit ribosomal RNA
Source: RNAcentral
CAGCCGCCGCGGUAAAACGGAGGGCGCGAGCGUUACCCGGAUUUACUGGGCGUAAAGGGCGUGUAGGCGGCCUGGGGCGUCCCAUGUGAAAGGCCACGGCUCAACCGUGGAGGAGCGUGGGAUACGCUCAGGCUAGAGGGUGGGAGAGGGUGGUGGAAUUCCCGGAGUAGCGGUGAAAUGCGCAGAUACCGGGAGGAACGCCGAUGGCGAAGGCAGCCACCUGGUCCACUUCUGACGCUGAGGCGCGAAAGCGUGGGGAGCAAACCGGAUUAGAUACCCCGGUAGUCCCUGUCUCUUAUAC